This 438-nucleotide ribosomal RNA is filed under the name Limonius ectypus. RNAcentral describes it as "partial 16S ribosomal RNA". It matches the Rfam family "Archaeal large subunit ribosomal RNA", at positions 1981 to 2622 of the family's 2987-position model. The record is from RNAcentral. Lineage: Eukaryota; Metazoa; Arthropoda; Insecta; Coleoptera; Elateridae.
GCGACCUCGAUGUUGAUUUAAAUUGCCGCGGUAUUUUGACCGUGCAAAGGUAGCAUAAUAAUNAGUUUUUUUAUUGGAAAGCUGGAAUGAAGGAUUGGACGAGAAAAAUACUGUCUCUAGAAAAUUUAUUAUUAAAAUUAACUUUUAAGUUAAAAGGCUUAAAUUUUACUUAAAGACGAGAAGACCCUAUAGAGUUUUAUACCUAUAAUUAUAAUGAGUACUUGGUUAUUUUAUUUUCUUGUCUGAUUAGGUAUUUGGUUGGGGUGACUUAAAGAUUAAAUAAACUCUUUAAAUUUAUAAUCAUUGAUUUGUGAAUUUAUAAUCUAGUUUUUUAAAGUUAAAAUAAAUUACCUUAGGGAUAACAGCGUAAUUUCUUUUUAGAGUUCUUAUUGAAAGAGAAGUUUGCGACCUCGAUNUUGAUUUAAAUUGCCGCGGUAU